Pyrgilauda ruficollis (rufous-necked snowfinch) is the source of this 1923-nucleotide RNA transcript. It is a transcript of the gene named tubulin alpha-4A chain-like, with no coding region annotated. The record is from RefSeq and is a predicted model, not a curated record. The transcript has 5 exons. Lineage: Eukaryota; Metazoa; Chordata; Aves; Passeriformes; Passeridae.
AUGGAGAAGCAGCCUUUGGAGGGAGGACCUGGGCCAAGCUCUUCCCUGGCUUUCCUGCUUCAGCCCCUGAAGUCUCUCCUGGUUAGUGCCUGGGCGGUGCCUUUCACCAGCAGGACACCAAGCUGGAAGGUGCCAUCUCUGUUCUUCAGCAGAACGCCUCUGCCAAGACUGGCAAGCAUAGCAGGAACAACGCUGAUGCCCCACUGCCCUUUCCUCGAGGGGACCCCCGGGUCUCCCGUGCCCCACUCAGGGAUGCUGCUCCCCGAAUGCCCCAGCAUGCAGCCCGCCAGGCAGCACAGCCCCAUCUAUGCAAAUCUAUGCAAAUAUGCGCAAUGCACUCAAAUCUAUGAAGCGCUCGGGGCUGUCCCGGGCGGGGCGGCCCGCCCCGGAGCGCCGGUGCCGCCCCCGCUAUAAGGCGGCGGCGGCGGGGCCGUCCCGGCGUGCGGAGCUGCGGCACUCCGGGGACAGGCAGGUCGUGCGGCAGCGGCGGCAUCAUGCGCGAGUGCAUCUCCGUCCACGUCGGCCAGGCCGGCGUCCAGAUGGGCAACACCUGCUGGGAGCUGUACUGCCUGGAGCACGGCAUCCAGCCCGACGGGCAGAUGCCCAGCGACAAAACCAUUGGCGGAGGGGACGACUCCUUCACCACCUUCUUCUGUGAGACUGGCGCUGGCAAGCACGUCCCACGGGCCAUCUUCGUGGACCUGGAGCCCACCGUGAUUGAUGAGAUUCGGGGAGGAGUCUACCGGCAGCUCUUCCACCCCGAACAGAUGAUCACUGGCAAAGAGGAUGCUGCCAACAACUACGCCCGUGGGCACUACACCAUCGGCAAAGAGAUCAUUGAUCAAGUGCUGGACAGGAUCCGUAAGCUGGCUGACCAGUGCACAGGCCUCCAGGGAUUCCUUGUAUUUCGUAGUUUUGGAGGUGGCACUGGCUCUGGAUUCACCUCCCUGUUGAUGGAGCGACUCUCUGUUGAUUACGGCAAGAAGUCCAAGCUGGAAUUCUCCAUCUACCCGGCACCACAAGUCUCCACUGCUGUGGUAGAGCCCUACAACUCCAUUCUCACCACCCACAGUACAUUGGAGCACUCGGACUGUGCUUUCAUGGUGGACAACGAGGCCAUCUACGACAUCUGCCGCCGGAACCUGGACAUCGAGCGCCCAACCUACACCAACUUGAACAGACUCAUCAGCCAGGUUGUGUCAUCCAUCACGGCAUCACUACGGUUUGAUGGAGCCCUGAAUGUGGAUCUGACCGAGUUCCAGACCAACCUGGUGCCCUACCCUCGCAUUCACUUCCCCCUGGCCACCUAUGCCCCCGUGGUUUCUGCUGAGAGAGCUUACCAUGAGCAGCUGUCUGUGUCAGAAAUCACCAACUCCUGCUUUGAGCCGGCUAACCAGAUGGUGAAGUGUGACCCUCGCCAUGGCAAGUACAUGGCCUGCUGCCUGCUGUACCGCGGGGACGUGGUGCCCAAGGACGUCAACGCCGCCAUCGCCACCAUCAAGACCAAACGCAGCAUCCAGUUUGUGGACUGGUGCCCCACGGGCUUCAAGGUGGGCAUCAACUACCAGCCGCCCACGGUGGUGCCGGGGGGGGACCUGGCCAAGGUGCAGCGCGCCGUCUGCAUGCUGAGCAACACCACGGCCAUCGCCGAGGCCUGGGCUCGCCUGGACCACAAGUUUGACCUGAUGUACGCCAAGCGCGCCUUCGUGCACUGGUACGUGGGCGAGGGCAUGGAGGAAGGGGAGUUCUCCGAGGCGCGGGAAGACAUGGCCGCUCUGGAGAAGGAUUACGAGGAAGUGGGCCUGGACUCCUACGAGGAUGAAGAAGAGGGUGAGGAGUAGAGAAGCCUCCGCCAAAAAAGGACCACGCUCCUUCCCUGUGUUACCUGCAGAAACCCUUUGCAAUAAACCGUUUCAGAGCCUC